Molecule: long non-coding RNA, 1545 nt
Organism: Hylaeus volcanicus
Lineage: Eukaryota; Metazoa; Arthropoda; Insecta; Hymenoptera; Colletidae
Exons: 3
Source: RefSeq, a predicted model, not a curated record
CCGAGGUAAAGGAUACACUCGUCGGCGGAAUUGAUCGAUUCGUAGUGGUCGUCGUUCACGUUUCGUCGGAAUAGAAAAUUUGACCGUCGUGCGAUUCGAUCGAUAUCGGCCGAGCGAAGGGGACACCGUGUUCCGCCUUGAAACGUGACAACGCACGUGCCGAUUUCCAGUUGGGAUCGAUCCCUAUAUAGGACGUAUCGCGACGGUGCCGGAGUGACUAAUUAUGGAGUUCGAAGGAGUUCUCCGUCCAAUGGCGGACGAAGCGCCGCUCGGGGAAGGAAGAAGACAGAGAUAAGCAACGAGGAGGAGGAAGUGGAAGACGAAGCCGAGGUCGAGCCCCCGGGAGUCAACGAUCCCUGACGUCACGCGUGUGCACGACCUUGGCGAACGAAGCCAAGCUCGGAGCCAAAUCUAUUUGUCUAGUUCGCCUUCUGGUGAACCGCCCUUAUCGCGAUCUACAUGCACGUGUUGAACGCGUAUUAGUGGAGAUCACCUUGGAGGGACCCUGGAUCGAAAACGAACGAUAGAAUCAGCCGAUCUCUAGAUACUGUUAAUCGAUCCCAACCUUCUGUCAAGAAACGCAACGACUGGUAAAACGGAGUACACUUUGUGGAACGGUCCAAUAGGUGGGGACUAUCGAUAUGAUUCGUUCGUUUCCUUGAAACGAGGCAAUGAGGAACCAGGAGGUGUACGGUCGAUGGCCCCGGAGUCGUUCAACUCGCGAUGAUCGGCCAUAAUUGUCCUUGAAUCGUGCGUUUCACGAUCGAGAUAGGUCAGAGAUCGGUAUGUCGUCUGUCUAUCGACACCAAACGGUGUUGUUUCGUCUGUUUAACGUCGGAGACUUCUAUUUGAAGUGUAGUCGAAGUUGGCACAUUAAUUAAGCGUUCAUCGUCGAGCAAAGACACUUUAAAUUUGUUAGUUAUCAUUCGACAGAUACGAACUAUUAUUGGCAAGCGUAAUAUUUAUCCAUAACGAAGUGGUAAUAUCGGGCCUGAAAAAUUUUCCUAAAAAAUAUUCUGGAUUUAUUAAUUCUAAUUAACCGAAGAAUACAGGAUUCGUAAGGAAGUCAAGUUCAAAUUCCACUUGAAACGAGAUUUCCAUGAAAAAUCGACGCCGAUCUGGCACAGCAUUGACGCGGGGUCACUCGAGCUUUUCCUCUAACCAGCAAAUUUCCCAUUAUUCCCGUUAAUUAAUCGCUCGCGGCUGUCGGAGAAGGAAAAACUGGCAUCAAGGGGACGGUUAAUCGAUUUCGACCCGCGUCGCAAUUAAUUAAGAGUUUCAUUGCGGUCUAGCGCACCGUGAAGCUAAUUCGUUUCGAAACUGUUAAGGUUCACUUUGGGCAAAAAAUAAUCGUGCUGGAACAGAAUUUUAAAUGGAUUGUCCUUAGUAUGGGAAAAAUAAAAAGGAAGAUACGUUUUAUCGAGUGGAGCCUUGAAAUUUUAUUUGAAACUAGGAUUAGGUACCUAAUUAUCAAAAUAAAACGAUCAACUAUUAGUCUUUGAAAUAAAAAAGAAAUAUACAUACAUAUAUAUAUAUAUAUAUAUA